Molecule: transfer RNA, 70 nt
Filed under: Camelus bactrianus (Bactrian camel)
Lineage: Eukaryota; Metazoa; Chordata; Mammalia; Artiodactyla; Camelidae
Also listed under: 3 other names
Rfam family: tRNA
About the family: Transfer RNA (tRNA) molecules are approximately 80 nucleotides in length. Their secondary structure includes four short double-helical elements and three loops (D, anti-codon, and T loops). Further hydrogen bonds mediate the characteristic L-shaped molecular structure. tRNAs have two regions of fundamental functional importance: the anti-codon, which is responsible for specific mRNA codon recognition, and the 3' end, to which the tRNAs corresponding amino acid is attached (by aminoacyl-tRNA synthetases). tRNAs cope with the degeneracy of the genetic code in two manners: having more than one tRNA (with a specific anti-codon) for a particular amino acid; and 'wobble' base-pairing, i.e. permitting non-standard base-pairing at the 3rd anti-codon position.
Source: Rfam by way of RNAcentral
AAGGGUAUAGCUCAGUGGUAGAGUGUAGCUUAGCAUAUAUGAGGUCCUGGGUUCAAUCCCAGUACCUCCA